Molecule: ribosomal RNA, 253 nt
Filed under: uncultured bacterium
Lineage: Bacteria
Description: partial 16S ribosomal RNA
Rfam family: Bacterial small subunit ribosomal RNA
Source: RNAcentral
UACGGAGGGUGCAAGCGUUGCCCGGAUUUAUUGGGUUUAAAGGGUGCGUAGGCGGCUUUUUAAGUCAGUGGUGAAAUCCAGCAGCUUAACUGUUGAAUUGCCAUUGAUACUGGAGAGCUUGAGUACAGACGAGGUAGGCGGAAUUUAUGGUGUAGCGGUGAAAUGCAUAGAUACCAUAAAGAACACCGAUUGCGAAGGCAGCUUACUAGGCUGUAACUGACGCUGAGGCACGAAAGUGUGGGGAUCAAACAGG